AUGGCUGCGGCCAGGGGCUCCGGGUGCUCCCCUCGACGCGGCCGACGCGGCCCGGACCUGCAGCCCCGGCUCCCGCCCCAGGAGAACCAGCCGCGCCGCUUAGGGAGCAUUUGUCCACAAGCUCCCCAAGGCCCCCCAGGCCUGGGAACUACACCUGCAGCCGUGGGAGAAUUGAAGCCUUGGGCUCCAUUCGCAUCUCACUGAUCUCACAUUAUCUCCAAGUGCUCAUUUAUCUACUUAAUGUUUGUCGAGCACCUAUUUUGUUCCAAGCCCGGUGCCAGGAGCUGAGUAUGCACUGGUGUACAAAAGACAGGGCUCCUGCCCUUUCCGAGCUCAUCACCUACCAGGAGAGAUGGGCAUAAAUUUACCUAGCAAACGUCCAGUUCCAGCUGGGAGACGUUCUGUGAAGGAGACGGACAGGGUGAAGUGAUAGAAAAUAAACCUGAGGGCUGGGGAGAGGGGGCUUCCAGCAAUGGAGUCGGAGCCCAAAUGCUGCUCCUCUGGUCAAGAAUACCUUCUCGCCCUCCUUGUCACUUCCUUGAGGCCGAGCCCCUGAAGCUGCCAUCUCUUAAGCAGGGACCUGCCUCAAUUUCUUUCAAGGUGAAUUAAUUGCCUAGCGGACAAAAAGACAAAUACAUGGUGACAGGAAGUGUUUCCUGGCAAAGCCCGGGAAGGAACUGAGAGGGCAGGCAUCUUUCUCUUCAAGACUUACCUGCUAGGUGGGGCUCUCGGAAGAAAUGGUUUUCCCUUUGAGAUGUGGCCCCGUGGGCCUUCAGACCUGGCUGAAGUCAGAAAGCACCAAAUUCUCGCUUUGGGAUCCCCGAGCAGGACCUUUCACCGCUCUGUUCCUGAGAUGCCGCCAUACUUAAUGUGUGGAAUAAUUAUUGCCUUUCAUACUCCACAAGAUUUGUGUAAUCACUGAAAUCACCUUCUGGAGAUGAUUCUGGAGACUGUUCCAGGGCACAGAUACCAGCCUUCCUGAGUAUGGACCACAGGGCUAAUGCAGAGAAUCACUGUCUUCUAAACUAGGUAAAUAUUCUUCUGGGUCAAGGGGCUGGUAACCUUGAGCUUUCUCUCCCAAGGUGGAGGGCGAGAAGUGGUGGUUGUUAAAGUGGCAGUAGCAGGGGCUGCAACUCAGGAAGCCACAGAAAACCCAGCCACGUGUUACAUUUAGCACAUCCACCUUGGGCUGUCAAUCUGAGGGGCUAGUGCCAAAAAGAAACCGACAGAAGAGAAAAGCUAAGUAGGGUAAGAGAGGUUGAGAGGAGAGGGCGGUGGGAGCAAACAGUUCACAUGAUCCUUCAUUCCUACUCAGCCAUGGUUUUGAGAGCUCUUCCUCGCUGUGUGACCUUGAACUUACUGAACUGCUCAGCCUUCUUUCUUUAACAUCACACCAUCUACCCCAGGCGGUUGUGAGGA
Vicugna pacos (alpaca) is the source of this 1419-nucleotide non-coding RNA. NCBI's taxonomy places the organism in Eukaryota, Metazoa, Chordata, Mammalia, Artiodactyla, Camelidae. The record is from RefSeq and is a predicted model, not a curated record.